Molecule: non-coding RNA, 45 nt
Filed under: Schistosoma mattheei
Lineage: Eukaryota; Metazoa; Platyhelminthes; Trematoda; Strigeidida; Schistosomatidae
Source: RNAcentral
AUCCAACUGACGAACCUUAAAUAGAGCGGAACGCGUGUCAUGGAU